UGACCUCAAUCAGGUAGGACUACCGCUGAACUAACAUAU
Molecule: ribosomal RNA, 39 nt
Filed under: uncultured fungus
Lineage: Eukaryota; Fungi
Description: partial 28S ribosomal RNA
Source: RNAcentral